RNAcentral lists this transfer RNA (65 nucleotides) under Eudiplozoon nipponicum. Its description in RNAcentral is "tRNA-Pro". The record is from RNAcentral. Lineage: Eukaryota; Metazoa; Platyhelminthes; Monogenea; Mazocraeidea; Diplozoidae.
UAGCGCAUAGUUUAAUUGAGAAUGAUUGUUUUGGGGACAUUUGGUUUGCUUCCACAAUGUGCUAA